GGAAGAGCUACAAGACGUAAAGGGAGAGCUGCAGAACGUAACGGGACAACUGGAAGCCAUACAGCAAUUUGUGCAGGACAACCAGAAUUAGAAAAACAGCCAAGAAAGCGCUUCGGUAAUGUAUCUUGCAUCUUUAUAUAUGGAACAUUACCAAUUCUGUCAUUUGCGAUUAAAAUAAGCAGUUAUUGUUAAGGAAAUUACUGCUGUCCCUGUGCGCUAUAAGUGCUGCAUUGAUGUUUAAUGUUUUGGCAACAUUUUAAGUUCAUAUGAAUGUAGUUUCGUGUCUACGGAUGAUGGCGUUGCUGCUGACGAACUCUUUUUUACAGUGUCGUCUGCCAUGUAUUCAAUAACUGGGCAUGGCAGCAUCUGAUCACAUUAUACAGACACUAGUUUGCAAAAUUUUUGCUGAUCAUCAAGUAGACAAAAGUAUGUACUAAAUUCAAAGAUUUCGAUUCCCCGAUCGGACUUGAAAAGGUAAGGGAUUACCUGCCUGACCACGUGUGUUUUCGCCAGGUACUCCAGUUUCCUCAAACAUUAACAUU
This is a long non-coding RNA of Pecten maximus, 542 nucleotides long. RefSeq lists it as uncharacterized. Lineage: Eukaryota; Metazoa; Mollusca; Bivalvia; Pectinida; Pectinidae. The record is from RefSeq and is a predicted model, not a curated record. The transcript has 4 exons.